GGAAGAACAAGUGCCGUUCAAAUAGGGCGGCACCUUGACGGUACCUAACCAGAAAGCCACGGCUAACUACGUGCCAGCAGCCGCGGUAAUACGUAGGUGGCAAGCGUUGUCCGGAAUUAUUGGGCGUAAAGGGCUCGCAGGCGGUUUCUUAAGUCUGAUGUGAAAGCCCCCGGCUCAACCGGGGGAGGGUCAUUGGAAACUGGGGAACUUGAGUGCAGAAGAGGAGAGUGGAAUUCCACGUGUAGCGGUGAAAUGCGUAGAGAUGUGGAGGAACACCAGUGGCGAAAGCGACUCUCUGGUCUGUAACUGACGCUGAGGAGCGAAAGCGUGGGGAGCGAACAGGAUUAGAUACCCUGGUAGUCCACGCCGUAAACGAUGAGUGCUAAGUGUUAGGGGGUUUCCGCCCCUUAGUGCUGCAGCUAACGCAUUAAGCACUCCGCCUGGGGAGUACGGUCGCAAGACUGAAACUCAAAGGAAUUGACGGGGGCCCGCACAAGCGGUGGAGCAUGUGGUUUAAUUCGAAGCAACGCGAAGAACCUUACCAGGUCUUGACAUCCUCUGACAAUCCUAGAGAUAGGACGUCCCCUUCGGGGGCAGAGUGACAGGUGGUGCAUGGUUGUCGUCAGCUCGUGUCGUGAGAUGUUGGGUUAAGUCCCGCAACGAGCGCAACCCUUGAUCUUAGUUGCCAGCAUUCAGUUGGGCCACUCUAAGGUGACUGCCGGUGACAAACCGGAGGAAGGUGGGGAUGACGUCAAAUCAUCAUGCCCCUUAUGACCUGGGCUACACACGUGCUACAAUGGGCAGAACAAAGGGCAGCGAAACCGCGAG
RNAcentral lists this ribosomal RNA (828 nucleotides) under Bacillus sp. (in: firmicutes). RNAcentral describes it as "bacterial SSU rRNA". It matches the Rfam family "Bacterial small subunit ribosomal RNA", at positions 443 to 1261 of the family's 1533-position model. Lineage: Bacteria; Bacillati; Bacillota; Bacilli; Caryophanales; Bacillaceae. The record is from RNAcentral.